UUCUAUGGAGAUAAAAACAAAACAGAUUGACUAUUAUAUGUUCUAUUUAGUUUUCAGGGAUUAUUUAAAUAUAAU
RNAcentral lists this unclassified non-coding RNA (75 nucleotides) under Mesoplasma melaleucae. RNAcentral's name for it is "Entomoplasma melaleucae partial 16S-23S ribosomal RNA intergenic spacer". Lineage: Bacteria; Bacillati; Mycoplasmatota; Mollicutes; Entomoplasmatales; Entomoplasmataceae. The record is from RNAcentral.